CUUUUUACAAUUUUAUCCGCAAUAUAAAAAAUCUACCGGUCAAAACAUCAAAUUUUAGUCAAAUUAUAAUAAAACAUGUAUCUGACUGUGUAUAACUUUAACAAGACACUAGAGUUUAACCCGUGCCAUGCACGGGUUUUUGUUUUUACUUUUUAUAGAUAAAUAUUUAUUUUGUGUAAGUGAUAAUCUAUAUUUUUAAAAUUUAUCGUGCGCGAGUUUUGUUUUUAAUUUUUAUAAAUAAAUGUUUAUUUUGUGUAAGUGAUAAUCUAUAUUUUUAAAAUUUAUCUCUAUAAAAUAUUUUUUUAAUAUGAUAUUUCUAAAAAUAAUAAUUUUCUAAUUUAUAUUGAGUAUUAUACAUUGUUUUGUAAUUCGUUAAAUGUAUCACCGAUAUUUUUAGAAUAUGACCUUAUACCAGCACAAAUAUAUUUUUAUUUUUUAUGGAUCAAAAUUUUAUAAUAAAAUUAUUUUAUAUGCUAUUUAAAAUCUGGUGUUAUAUACUUUAUACUAUUUAACAUUUAUCACAUUGAAUAUACACUGGCUUAUUAUUUAUAAUAGAGUAUAUAUUAAAUAAUAAAAGACAUGAUUUUAGCCACAACAUUUUUGGCUUUAGUUUUUAGAAUAUUUGCUUAUUGUGGUUGCUUUGAAACCUACGAAUAAUCAAUAUACAAUAUUAAAAGGGGAAUAUCCUCAACAUUUAGCAUGUCCACGUCAUCUCAAAAAAUUAGCCAAUAGGAAUACUUUGUACUGCCAUGUCAUUAUCGCUUUUCUAGACUGAAGAGAAAAUAGGCUUUUCGUUCAAUUUUAAUAGUAAUUAACCAUGACCCAUGUGAGGCCCACCUCUCCAACCCUAAUCGUCUUCGACGUAAACGAUGAUCGUGUCUGGCGCUUCCAUUCUCUGCAAUCGCUGUUUCUCCUCUGUAUUUAUCACAACCAGUAUGAAUCAUUAGCCUCUGUUCUUCAAUCCAUUCUUAGUGGUUUCGUUCCACCUCCCGUUGUUACUCCUCCUAUUUAACCUCUAAUGUUACGUCAAACCAAAAUCUACCUCCUUUUAGAGAAGAAGAUCACGCUAUGGCCAUGAAGCCUCCAAAAUCCACCGAAAAGUCUCAUGCACCCUCAAUUUUAAUGACGUCUCACCAGGCCAGUCGAAUUGGAACACCGAUUCCGAUUAAUUCAAUUUCUGGGAGGUGAGAAAUACAGAAAAAGGUUGGAUUCUUAUUGGCUUGGAACUGCUUCUCAUCUAUGAACAAAAAAGGUAUAGUUAGGGGUUGAGAUCUAUGGGUGUUAGAUUCCUUUUUGGCAGCAGUAUUUUCACGCCUUUUAACCAUACACCACAGCAUAGACUACUUGGAUCAAGCCCACAACAUAGACUUAACAGGUUAGUAUCAGAUUUUACUGUGCCUCUCUUUGAUGCAUCCUUUUUAGUUGCUGCAUACUUCUUACUUUGCUUCUGGAUAUCUGUCUAGAUGGUUGUUUAAACUCUGUACCGCAAGAAAAAAAUAUGUUAUGGUUACAAUUUACGACCCAUGGAAGCAUGAGACGGUUCACAUGAAGAGAAGAUGUCUGACAAAGGGUUGGUUUUAAAUUCUGAUGGAGAGUAAGGUAUGUAUCAGUCUAUAUCAAGAUGCUACGUUAUCUGGCUUGGUCGGUUAUGAUUUCAUGAUUUUUUUGGGUUCAUAUUGAAUUGCGGUAAAUGAUGUUUCCUCUGCUGCAGUUGUUCUUCAUUCAAAAAAACUCAUGUGGUAUUGGACCUGUUGAUAAAUCACCUGCCUUUAUGAGCCAGGUAUGAUAUGUGGUUCUCAUGUUAGUUUCAUUGUUUGCAUUAAAUCUCAGCAUCAAGUCUCUUAGGAUUCCAGAGCUUUUUAUUGAAGUUCCUGAAACAGGAAAAAAAAUAGGCUAACUAAAGGAGUCUGAUUGAAUCUCUUUACCUUUCUAGAGAUGCUUUGGUUCUGCAAUAUACAUGAAGUGUUAUUUAAUGACAUUAGUCGUUUUUUGAACAAUUUUGGCUUCAGAGUAUGGUGAUGACUGCUGUCACUUCUUUACUCCGUGAUGGAAUAGGUUGUAGUCCGAGGGAAGACAGUUAGAGACGAGAAAAAGUCAACAACACUCUAUCACAGAGUGGUCGUUCGUGUAGAGAAGGCAACCUAGGCUUCACCUUGGAUCUUAGUCCUGGAAAACUAACCUGAGUCAGAGAGGAGUGGUUGUUGACAUGUCGUUCAAACACAGAUCAACAAAUCAACCAGAACAUAGGCGGAUAAAGGAUCUACGAGGAUACUUUGAGGACGGUUGCCUCAACGGAGUCCUUGCAGUCACAAGUGCCAUUGAGAACUGGGAACUGAAGAGUCCUUUCACUGGCUCCUCUUCACCUCUGAUCUCAGACCCAAAGAUUCAGCAAACUAUUCUAACAGAGGAAGAUGACUUCUUAGUUUCAGCAUGAUGAAGCCCGAGCUCAGUUACAACUUACAACCCGAUGCUUGGAAGGGGCUUAAACCAGUCCUUUUGGCAGUAUAUAUAAAGAGAUCGUAGUUCAAAUAAAAUAUAUAAACAGAUGACUUCUUAGUUUCAUCUGUUUGUUAGGUUAUUUAGAAGAGAGUACAAGAGAGAAAAGGAAACAUGUAGUUUUGUUAGGACUUAUUAGGACUAUUGAAAUCAUAAAUUAUUUGCAAGUCAAACAACAUACGAUUACUCAGGAGUUGAAAUCUCUGGGUUUUAUUACUCUUCAUAUGAUUGUGUUUUUUUUUUUUAAGUUUAUAAUUGCUUCGUUUCUGUAAGGUUUAAUUCGAUGGUUUCUUCUAAACACCGAGAUUGAGUUUAUGAUGCAUUGUGCUUAUUUAUUAGAACAAAAUAAUCGCUAUUUUGAUAAAAUGUGUGAGAAUCAAGCUUAAUGAGAAACAUCAAAUAAAGAUAAUCCAAUCUUUACGAGGUUAGUUAGGUUGAUAACCAAAAUAAACAAUGUACUGAGAAAAAUAUUGCAAUCAACAAUUUUAGAAACUAAAUAUAUUCUAUUUUUCAUCUUUUUAAAUAAACACAAUUUGAGAUUAAAAGAUAAUUGUGCUAAACCAUUGGUAACAGCUUUUAUCCACUAAGAUAAUUAUAGAUCAUAUUUUGUAGAUAAACAUAAAACAUAAUUUGAAUGCAAAAAUUAUAUUUUAACUUUCAGUAUUUUUGGAACAAGUAACAUGAUAGCCAAUUGAAUAAUUGCGGGGCCGGAUCUGUAAUUUUGGGAACUUGAUCAUUUCUAAAAAAAACUUUAAUAUUGUUUUUAAAAUUUGGGGUUUCUUUUUUGCAAAUGUUUUUCAAAUAUUUGAGGACCAAAGCUAAUGUUUUACUGGCUUAGAUCCGAUCAUGCAUAAUUGCAUUGUAACUAACACAAAGAAAUUGUGAAAGAUAAAUUUAUGAAGAUGGUAAAAAAAGAUAAAUUUAUGAAAUCUCACCAUCUAUUGAACAUCUGAACCAUAGAGUUAAGGCUGACAAUGCAUUGAUAUGUCAAAGUUACACGACCAACAACAAUACUCCCAAUAAAAAAAUGUUCCUAAAACACCUCCCUAUAUUUUUGGGUUAAAAAUACAAUCAAUCGCUGUGUUUUGCACUAUAAGCGCAUACCUACCAAGUAAUUUCACAAACUUUUAUUUUUAAAAGAAAAACAAAAAAUUGAAAUAAAUUAUUUUAACACAGAUAAGGUAAAUACGCAGUAUACAAAGAAUAUAUCUCCAAAAUCCAUAAACGAAAAUAAAAGUUGUAUAAGCUUACUUAUAAACACGCAUAUACUAAAAAUACAUUUAUACAAACAAAAUAGUCACCUAGAAUGAAGCUUUCAUAUUAAAAAAUUA
This is a long non-coding RNA of Brassica napus (rape), 3827 nucleotides long. RefSeq lists it as uncharacterized. NCBI's taxonomy places the organism in Eukaryota, Viridiplantae, Streptophyta, Magnoliopsida, Brassicales, Brassicaceae. The record is from RefSeq and is a predicted model, not a curated record. The transcript is spliced from 2 exons.